GCUAUUUAGGUUAGAGUUUGAUCAUGGCUCAGGACGAACGCUGGCGGCGUGCCUAACACAUGCAAGUUGAGCGACGAACCGGGGCUUGCCCCGGGGCAAAGCAGCGAACGGGUGAGUAACACGUGGGCAACCUGCCCCGAAGACCGGGACAACCCGAGGAAACUCGGGCUAAUACCGGAUGUGCUCUGCGAGCAUCAGCCCGCAUAGCAAAGGAAGCUUCGGCCUCCGCUUCGGGAGGGGCCCGCGGCCCAUUAGCUUGUUGGUGAGGUAACGGCUCACCAAGGCUGCGAUGGGUAGCUGGUCUGAGAGGACGAUCAGCCACACUGGGACUGAGACACGGCCCAGACUCCUACGGGAGGCAGCAGUGGGGAAUCUUGCGCAAUGCGCGAAAGCGUGACGCAGCAACGCCGCGUGAGGGAAGAAGGCCUUCGGGUUGUAAACCUCUUUCAGGAGGGACGAAGGUUCAGGCGCGAAUAGCGACCUGGACUGACGGUACCUCCAGAAGAAGCCCCGGCUAACUACGUGCCAGCAGCCGCGGUAAUCGCC
This 546-nucleotide ribosomal RNA is filed under the name uncultured bacterium. RNAcentral describes it as "bacterial SSU rRNA". It matches the Rfam family "Bacterial small subunit ribosomal RNA", at positions 1 to 526 of the family's 1533-position model. The record is from RNAcentral.